GAUGAACGCUAGCGGGAGGCCUAACACAUGCAAGCCGAGCGGUAGAGUUUCUUCGGAAACUUGAGAGCGGCGCACGGGUGCGUAACACGUGUGCAACCUACCUUUAUCUGGGGGAUAGCCUUUCGAAAGGAAGAUUAAUACCCCAUAAUAUAAUGAUUGGCAUCAAUUAUUAUUGAAAACUCCGGUGGAUAGAGAUGGGCACGCGCAAGAUUAGAUAGUUGGUGAGGUAACGGCUCACCAAGUCAAUGAUCUUUAGGGGUCCUGAGAGGGAGAUCCCCCACACUGGUACGACGACCCGGACCAGACUCCUACGGGAGGCAGCAGUGAGGAAGAUUAGACAAUGGGUGAGAGCCUGAUCCAGCCAGCCCGCGUGAAGGAUGACGGUCCUAUGGAUUGUAAACUUCUUUUGAACAGGGAUAAACCUACCCUCGGGAGGGUAGCUGAAGGUACUGUACGAAUAAGCACCGGCUAACUCCGUG
Molecule: ribosomal RNA, 479 nt
Filed under: uncultured bacterium
Lineage: Bacteria
Description: partial 16S ribosomal RNA
Rfam family: Bacterial small subunit ribosomal RNA
Source: RNAcentral